Molecule: small nuclear RNA, 164 nt
Filed under: Microtus ochrogaster (prairie vole)
Lineage: Eukaryota; Metazoa; Chordata; Mammalia; Rodentia; Cricetidae
Description: U1 spliceosomal RNA (ENSMOCG00000004670.1)
Rfam family: U1 spliceosomal RNA
About the family: U1 is a small nuclear RNA (snRNA) component of the spliceosome (involved in pre-mRNA splicing).
Source: RNAcentral
ACUCUUCCCUGGCAGGGGAGAUGCCGUGGUCAUGAAGAUAGUUUUUGCAUGGCAAGGCUUAGCCGACACACUCACGGUGUGCUGACCCUGACAACUUCCCCAAACAUGGGAAACUCAGCUGAUUAAUUUGUGGUAGUGGAGGAUUAUAUUUGCACUCUCUCCUG